RNAcentral lists this ribosomal RNA (253 nucleotides) under uncultured bacterium. RNAcentral describes it as "partial 16S ribosomal RNA". It matches the Rfam family "Bacterial small subunit ribosomal RNA", at positions 524 to 776 of the family's 1533-position model. The record is from RNAcentral.
UACGGAGGGGGCUAGCGUUGUUCGGAAUUACUGGGCGUAAAGCGCACGUAGGCGGCUUUGUAAGUUAGAGGUGAAAGCCCGGGGCUCAACCCCGGAAUAGCCUUUAAGACUGCAUCGCUUGAACACGGGAGAGGUGAGUGGAAUUCCGAGUGUAGAGGUGAAAUUCGUAGAUAUUCGGAAGAACACCGGUGGCGAAGGCGGCUCACUGGCUCAUUUCUGACGCUCAGGCGCGACAGCGUGGGGAUCAAACAGG